CUUCCGUAGGGUGAACCUGCGGAAGGAUCAUUACCGAGUGCGGGCCCCUCGGGGCCCAACCUCCCACCCGUGUUGCCCGAACCUAUGUUGCCUCGGCGGGCCCCGCGCCCGCCGACGGCCCCCCUGAACGCUGUCUGAAGUUGCAGUCUGAGACCUAUAACGAAAUUAGUUAAAACUUUCAACAACGGAUCUCUUGGUUCCGGCAUCGAUGAAGAACGCAGCGAAAUGCGAUAACUAAUGUGAAUUGCAGAAUUCAGUGAAUCAUCGAGUCUUUGAACGCACAUUGCGCCCUCUGGUAUUCCGGAGGGCAUGCCUGUCCGAGCGUCAUUGCUGCCCUCAAGCCCGGCUUGUGUGUUGGGCCCCGUCCCCCCCGCCGGGGGGACGGGCCCGAAAGGCAGCGGCGGCACCGCGUCCGGUCCUCGAGCGUAUGGGGCUUCGUCACCCGCUCUAGUAGGCCCGGCCGGCGCCAGCCGACCCCCAACCUUUAAUUAUCUCAGGUUGACCUCGGAUCAGGUAGGGAUACCCGCUGAACUUAAGCAUAUCAAUAAGCGGAGGAA
This 557-nucleotide ribosomal RNA is filed under the name Penicillium griseofulvum. RNAcentral describes it as "eukaryotic LSU rRNA". The stretch from base 174 to 327 matches the Rfam family "5.8S ribosomal RNA". Lineage: Eukaryota; Fungi; Ascomycota; Eurotiomycetes; Eurotiales; Aspergillaceae. The record is from RNAcentral.